AUGGUGCCAAUGAUUCUUAUAAAUAUACUUUGAGGAAUCCCUAUGAAAAGUUCUUAAUCUGAGGCACUGU
Small nucleolar RNA from Zingiber officinale, 70 nucleotides. The record is from RefSeq and is a predicted model, not a curated record. NCBI's taxonomy places the organism in Eukaryota, Viridiplantae, Streptophyta, Magnoliopsida, Zingiberales, Zingiberaceae.